This 253-nucleotide ribosomal RNA is filed under the name uncultured bacterium. RNAcentral describes it as "partial 16S ribosomal RNA". It matches the Rfam family "Bacterial small subunit ribosomal RNA", at positions 524 to 776 of the family's 1533-position model. The record is from RNAcentral.
UACGUAGGUGGCAAGCGUUGUCCGGAUUUACUGGGCGUAAAGAGCGCGCAGGCGGUCGUGCAAGUCGCGUGUGAAAGCCCUCGGCUCAACUGGGGAGGGUCACGCGAUACUGUUCGACUUGAAGGCAGGAGAGGGAAGUGGAAUUCCCGGUGUAGUGGUGAAAUGCGUAGAUAUCGGGAGGAACACCAGUGGCGAAGGCGACUUCCUGGCCUGUUCUUGACGCUGAGGCGCGAAAGCUAGGGUAGCAAACGGG